AUGCUGUUCAUUAGGAUGCUGAGGCGACUGGGGCAGAGCCCAGCCUGUGGCUGUUGGACACCUGUCCUGCCGGUCCGCUUUCUGGGCAUCUCCCCUCGGCAAAUUCCAGCAGAUGCUAACUUCCACUCUGCGUCUUUCUCUGACACAGACCAUCCACGAGUCUUAAUUACAGGGGGUCUUGGCCAGCUGGGAGUGGGGCUUGCUAAUCUUUUGAGGAAACGAUUUGGAAAGGACAAUGUGAUUUUGUCUGACAUAAGGAAACCCCCCGAUCAUGUCUUUCACAGUGGUCCGUUCAUUUAUUCUGAUAUCUUGGAUUAUAAGAAUCUUCGGGAGAUCGUGGUAAACAACCGCAUCACCUGGUUGUUUCAUUACAGCGCUUUGCUCAGCGCCAUUGGAGAAGCAAAUGUUUCCCUGGCAAGAGCAGUGAAUAUAACUGGCCUGCAUAACAUCCUGGACGUCGCUGCGGAACACAAUCUGCGAUUGUUUGUGCCUAGCACGAUCGGGGCUUUUGGACCCACCUCUCCCCGGAACCCAACCCCCGAUCUCUGUAUUCAGAGACCCAGGACCAUCUACGGGGUGUCCAAGGUCCACGCGGAGCUCAUGGGAGAAUAUUAUCAUUACCGGUAUGGGUUAGAUUUCCGAUGCCUGAGAUAUCCUGGAAUCAUUUCAGCUGACUCCCAGCCUGGAGGAGGAACAACUGACUAUGCAGUCCAGAUUUUCCAUGAUGCCACAAAGCAUGGCAAAUUCGAGUGCAACCUGGAAGCCCGCACGAGGCUGCCCAUGAUGUACAUUGAUGACUGCCUCAGGGCCACCCUGGAGGUCAUGGAGGCCCCAGCCGAGUCCCUUUCCAUGAGGACCUACAAUGUCAGCGCCAUGAGCUUCACACCUGAGGAGCUGGCCCAGGAGGUCCUCAAGCACGUGCCGGAAUUCCAGAUCACAUACAACGUGGAUGCCGUUCGGCAGGCCAUAGCGGAUAGUUGGCCGAUGAACUUUGAUGACAGCAAUGCUCGGAAGGACUGGGGGUGGAAACAUGAUUUUGAUCUUCCAGAGUUGGUGACUGCCAUGUUGAACUUCCAUGGUUCUGAAACCAGAGUUGCCCAAGCCAACUGA
Molecule: small RNA, 1110 nt
Filed under: Pongo abelii (Sumatran orangutan)
Lineage: Eukaryota; Metazoa; Chordata; Mammalia; Primates; Hominidae
Description: transcribed unitary pseudogene
Source: RNAcentral